This 468-nucleotide ribosomal RNA is filed under the name uncultured bacterium. RNAcentral describes it as "partial 16S ribosomal RNA". It matches the Rfam family "Bacterial small subunit ribosomal RNA", at positions 28 to 507 of the family's 1533-position model. The record is from RNAcentral.
GACGAACGCUGGCGGCGUGCUUAACACAUGCAAGUCGAACGGAAAGGCCCUGCUUUUGUGGGGUGCUCGAGUGGCGAACGGGUGAGUAACACGUGAGUAACCUGCCCUUGACUUUGGGGUAACUUCAGGAAACUGGGGCUAAUACCGGAUAGGAGCUCCUGCUGCAUGGUGGGGGUUGGAAAGUUUCGGCGGUUGGGGAUGGACUCGCGGCUUAUCAGCUUGUUGGUGGGGUAGUGGCUUACCAAGGCUUUGACGGGUAGCCGGCCUGAGAGGGUGACCGGCCACAUUGGGACUGAGAUACGGCCCAGACUCCUACGGGAGGCAGCAGUGGGGAAUAUUGCACAAUGGGCGGGAGCCUGAUGCAGCAACGCCGCGUGCGGGAUGACGGCCUUCGGGUUGUAAACCGCUUUCGCCUGUGACGAAGCGUGAGUGACGGUAAUGGGUAAAGAAGCACCGGCUAACUACGUG